RNAcentral lists this long non-coding RNA (424 nucleotides) under Homo sapiens (human). RNAcentral describes it as "HSALNT0044660". The record is from RNAcentral. Lineage: Eukaryota; Metazoa; Chordata; Mammalia; Primates; Hominidae.
AGAAUGUUCCAGCAGCAAUGAAGCAACACCAGCUUUUGUGAGGCAAAAUACACAGAGAAUAAAGGACACAAAGCUGGUGUAGUGGAUUGAAUGGUAGCCUCCCAAGUGAUAUGUCCACCAGAACCUGUGAAUGUGAUCUUGUUUGGAAGAAGAGUCUUUGCAGAUGCAAUUAAGAUAACGAUGCUGUGAAGAGAUUACCCUGGAUUAUCAUGGGCCAUAUAUCUAAUGAGAAGUGAUUUUAUAAGAGAAGAGCAGGGAAAAGGACACACAGGAGAAAAGACCAUGUGAAAACAGAGGCAAAAACCUGCAUUAUGCAGCCCCAAGCCAAGGAAAAUCUGGAGUCACCAGAUGAGGAAAGAUUCUCUUCUAGAGACUUCAGAAAGAGUGCGACCCCCCAACACUUUGAUUUUGAACUUCUGUCCUC